Sinocyclocheilus rhinocerous is the source of this 467-nucleotide long non-coding RNA. RefSeq lists it as uncharacterized. The transcript is spliced from 3 exons. The record is from RefSeq and is a predicted model, not a curated record. Lineage: Eukaryota; Metazoa; Chordata; Actinopteri; Cypriniformes; Cyprinidae.
GAUGAGGAGUUGCGGGAAGCAGCAGAGAGCUCUAAAAUCAACAGCUUUCUCCAAGGAAGUGAGAAACCACAAGAAUCAAUAGCUCAACCCAAUGCGAGCAGUUCAUAAGAGCCGUUGGCUGUGGGUGCAAGAACAAUAUGUCUGUAAAGGUUUUGAGUAUUUCAAAUUGUAAUGAUUAUUGUACACUGAUGUGGAUGCAAUAAUCGUAUAAAAUAAGAGAAAAGGGUAUUUUUGUGCUUUGGUAUCUCACAGUGCUGGGAUGAAUAGUGCAGCACCACAUAUUCUUCAACACAAAUCACCUCAAAUGUAAUAAUUCUUCUCACUUAAACCAGCGCAUUGCUUGGAUCAUUCUUUGUCUCCUAUCGUCUUGCAAACGUUUCUCUUGUUACUUGAAUUAUGCAUGAGAGGCAUUUUAGCAAUAAUAUAAUGUAGUACUUUUCCCCUUUAGACUCCUAAUUUUCACCGUC